RNAcentral lists this ribosomal RNA (246 nucleotides) under uncultured Bacillota bacterium. RNAcentral describes it as "uncultured Firmicutes bacterium partial 16S ribosomal RNA". It matches the Rfam family "Bacterial small subunit ribosomal RNA", at positions 796 to 1041 of the family's 1533-position model. The record is from RNAcentral. Lineage: Bacteria; Bacillati; Bacillota.
CACACUGUAAACGAUGAAUGCUAGGUGUAGGGGGUAUCGACCCCUUCUGUGCCGAAGUAAACACAAUAAGCAUUCCGCCUGGGGAGUACGGUCGCAAGAUUAAAACUCAAAGGAAUUGACGGGGGCCCGCACAAGCAGCGGAGCAUGUGGUUUAAUUCGAAGCAACGCGAAGAACCUUACCAGGUCUUGACAUCCAUCUAAAGCUGCGGAGACGCAGUGUGAGCAAGCUCGAGAUGAGACAGGUGG